RNAcentral lists this ribosomal RNA (704 nucleotides) under Shigella flexneri. RNAcentral describes it as "partial 23S ribosomal RNA". It matches the Rfam family "Bacterial large subunit ribosomal RNA", at positions 1031 to 1736 of the family's 2925-position model. The record is from RNAcentral. Lineage: Bacteria; Pseudomonadati; Pseudomonadota; Gammaproteobacteria; Enterobacterales; Enterobacteriaceae.
ACCGCCAGCUAAGGUCCCAAAGUCAUGGUUAAGUGGGAAACGAUGUGGGAAGGCCCAGACAGCCAGGAUGUUGGCUUAGAAGCAGCCAUCAUUUAAAGAAAGCGUAAUAGCUCACUGGUCGAGUCGGCCUGCGCGGAAGAUGUAACGGGGCUAAACCAUGCACCGAAGCUGCGGCAGCGACGCUUAUGCGUUGUUGGGUAGGGGAGCGUUCUGUAAGCCUGUGAAGGUGUACUGUGAGGUAUGCUGGAGGUAUCAGAAGUGCGAAUGCUGACAUAAGUAACGAUAAAGCGGGUGAAAAGCCCGCUCGCCGGAAGACCAAGGGUUCCUGUCCAACGUUAAUCGGGGCAGGGUGAGUCGACCCCUAAGGCGAGGCCGAAAGGCGUAGUCGAUGGGAAACAGGUUAAUAUUCCUGUACUUGGUGUUACUGCGAAGGGGGGACGGAGAAGGCUAUGUUGGCCGGGCGACGGUUGUCCCGGUUUAAGCGUGUAGGCUGGUUUUCCAGGCAAAUCCGGAAAAUCAAGGCCGAGGCGUGAUGACGAGGCACUACGGUGCUGAAGCAACAAAUGCCCUGCUUCCAGGAAAAGCCUCUAAGCAUCAGGUAACAUCAAAUCGUACCCCAAACCGACACAGGUGGUCAGGUAGAGAAUACCAAGGCGCUUGAGAGAACUCGGGUGAAGGAACUAGGCAAAAUGGUGCCGUAACUU